ACAACGUUCUGAGCAGCCAGUGGCCUCUUCACCCUGGUGACCUCUGUUCCGGCUUCUGUCGCUGAGAGACGCCAUGGGGGAUCUGUGGAGGCUUCUGUCGUGCUGGGACCUACCCUGGCAGCGGGAGGAGUUGGGAGGACCCGGGACACUGCAAAGCCGGGAAAUGAACUCAGUGGCCUUUGAGGAUGUGUCUGUGAACUUCACUUAUGAGGAGUGGGCUUUGCUGGGUCCAUCACAGAAGAAUCUCUACAGAGAUGUGAUGCAGGAAACCAUUAGGAACCUGAAUUGUAUAGGAAUGAAAUGGGAAAACCAGACACUGAUGAUCAGUACCAGAAUCUCAGGAGAAAUCUAAGAUGUGGUGUGGUAGAGAGAUUUGAUAAAAGAUAUUAGUCAGUGUGGAGAAACCUUAAGCCAGAUUCCAAAUAGUAUUGUAAACAAGAACACUCCUGCCAGAGUAGAUGCAUGCGAAAGCAGUGUGAAUGGAGAAGUCAUAAUGGGUCAUUCAUCCCUGAAUUGCUACAUCAGAGUUGCCACUGGACACAAACACCAUGAGUGUCACAAAUAUGCAGAGAAGCCAUAUACACAUAAGCAGUGUGAGAGAGGCUUAACUUAUCACCACUCCUUUCAAACACGUGAAAGGCCUCAUUCUGAGAGAAGCUCUAUGAUUGCAAAGAAUGUGGAAAAACCUUCAGUUCUGGAAAUCUUGAAAGACAUAGCGCAAGGUGGAGAUGGACCUUAUAAAUGUGAAUUGUGUGGAAAAGGCUUUUGUUGGCCCAGUUUAUUACGUAUGCAUGAAAGAACUCACACUGGCGAGAAACCGUAUGAAUGUAAGCAAUGUUCUAAAGCCUUCCCUGAUUACAGUUCAUAUCUAAGACAUGAAAGAACCCACACUGGAGAAAAACCCACAAAUGUAAACAGUGUGGGAAAGCCUUCAGUGUUCCCAGUUCACUUCUAGUACAUGAAAGAAUUCACACUGGAGAGAAACCCUAUAUGUGUAAACAGUGUGGGAAAGCAUUUUGUCAUCUCGGAAGCUUUCAAAGACACAUGAUAAUGCACAGUGGAGAUGGACCUCAUAAAUGUAAGAUAUGUGGGAAAGGCUUUGAUUUUCCUGGUUCAGUACGAACUCAUGAAGGAACUCACACUCUAGAGAAACCCUAUGAAUGUAAGCAAUGUGGGAAAUUGUUAUCUCAUCGCUCAACCUUUCGAAGACACAUGAUGGCACAUACUGGAGAUGGCCCUCAUAAAUGCACAGUAUGUGGGAAAGCCUUUGAUUCUCCCAGUGUAUUUCAAAGACAUGAAAUGACUCACAAUGGAGAGAAACCCUAUGAAUGUAAGCAAUGUGGAAAAGCCUUUUGUAUUUCCAGUUCCCUUUGAAAACAUGUAACAACACACACUGGAGACCCACCCUAUAAAUAUAAAUGUAGAAAGGCUUUUAGUGAUUUCUUUUCAAAGUCAUGAAACAACACACAGUGGAGAGGAGCCUUAUGAAUGUAAGGAAUGUGGGAAAGCAUUUAGUUCUUUUAAAUACUUUCAUCACCAUGAAAGGACUCACAGUGAAGAAAAAUCUUAUGAGUGUCCGACUUGUGGGAAAGCCUUCACUCUUUCAGUUACUUAAAAACUCAGGAAAGGACUCACACAGCAGAGAAGCCAUAUGAAUUUAAGCAAUGCAGGAAAGCGUUCUUUUGGCCCUCCUUCCUUCUAAGACAUGAAAGGAUUCACACUGGAGAAAGACCCUAUGAGUGUAAACACUGUGGUAAAGCCUUCAGUCGUUCUAGUUUCUGUCAAGAACAUGAAAGAAUUCACACUGAAGAGAAGCCCUAUGAAUUAAGGAAUGUGGGAAAGCCUUCAGUUCUCUCAGUUCCUUUAAUAGACAUAAAAGGACUCACUGGAAGGAUAUUCUAUAAAUAUAUGGAACGUUGGAAAGCAUUCAUUAGUUUUAUCACAUUUCAGAUAUUUGAAAGAAAUAAAUCCUAUGCAUGUAAACUUGGUAAAGCCUUAAGAAGUUUCCAUUUCUUUCGAAUAAUUACUCCCUGAUAUAUGCAAGAAGAUUGAUUCCAGUACACCCUGAGUUUACCUAAAUCCACGAUGCCAGCUCUUUUAUAAAAUAGAAUAUUUGCAUGUACCUACCCACUUCCUCCUGUAUACUCUGUGUCAUGUCUAGAUUAAUUAAAACAUCUC
This is a non-coding RNA of Callithrix jacchus (white-tufted-ear marmoset), 2178 nucleotides long. NCBI's taxonomy places the organism in Eukaryota, Metazoa, Chordata, Mammalia, Primates, Cebidae. The record is from RefSeq and is a predicted model, not a curated record.